RNAcentral lists this unclassified non-coding RNA (377 nucleotides) under uncultured Gammaproteobacteria bacterium. RNAcentral describes it as "contains 16S-23S intergenic spacer region". The record is from RNAcentral. Lineage: Bacteria; Pseudomonadati; Pseudomonadota; Gammaproteobacteria.
UCCGGUUUGUCACCGGCAGUCCCAUUAGAGUGCUCAACUAAAUGUCGCAACUAAUGGCAAGGGUUGCGCUCGUUGCGGGACUUAACCCAACAUCUCACGACACGAGCUGACGACAGCCAUGCAGCACCUGUGUUCCGAUUCUCUUUCGGGCACACCCACAUCUCUGCGGGCUCUCGGACAUGUCAAGGGUAGGUAAGGUUUUUCGCGUUGCAUCGAAUUAAUCCACAUAAUCCACCGCUUGUGCGGGUCCCCGUCAACUCCUUUGAGUUUCAACCUUGCGGCCGUACUCCCCAGGCGGAGAACUUAGCGCGUUAGCUGCGACACUGGGAGGCUAACCCUCUCAACGUCUAGUUCUCAUCGUUUAAGGCGUGGACUAC